This 73-nucleotide transfer RNA is filed under the name Deltaproteobacteria bacterium RIFCSPHIGHO2_02_FULL_60_17. RNAcentral describes it as "tRNA-Gly". It matches the Rfam family "tRNA". Rfam says of the family: Transfer RNA (tRNA) molecules are approximately 80 nucleotides in length. The record is from RNAcentral. Lineage: Bacteria; Deltaproteobacteria.
GUGUAGCUCAGCUGGCUAGAGCGUAUGCUUGCCAAGCAUAAGGUCGGGAGUUCGAUCCUCCUCACCCGCUCCA